This is a non-coding RNA of Triticum aestivum (bread wheat), 135 nucleotides long. The record is from Rfam. NCBI's taxonomy places the organism in Eukaryota, Viridiplantae, Streptophyta, Magnoliopsida, Poales, Poaceae.
GUACUACUCCCUCCGUCUGAAAAUACUUGUCAUUAAAAUGGACAAAAAAGAAUAUAUCUAGAACUAAGAUACAUCUACAUACAUUCCCUUUUAUUCAUUUUGAUGACAAGUAUUUUCGCACGAAGGGAGUAGUAG